Molecule: ribosomal RNA, 460 nt
Filed under: uncultured bacterium
Lineage: Bacteria
Description: partial 16S ribosomal RNA
Rfam family: Bacterial small subunit ribosomal RNA
Source: RNAcentral
CCUACGGGAGACAGCAGUGAGGAAUAUUGGUCAAUGGACGAGAGUCUGAACCAGCCAAGUAGCGUGAAGGAUGACUGCCCUAUGGGUUGUAAACUUCUUUUAUAUGGGAAUAAAAUGUUCCACGUGUGGGAUUUUGUAUGUACCAUAUGAAUAAGGAUCGGCUAACUCCGUGCCAGCAGCCGCGGUAAUACGGAGGAUCCGAGCGUUAUCCGGAUUUAUUGGGUUUAAAGGGAGCGUAGGUGGAUUGUUAAGUCAGUUGUGAAAGUUUGCGGCUCGACCGUAAAAUUGCAGUUGAAACUGGCAGUCGUGAGUACAGUAGAGGUGGGCGGAAUUCGUGGUGUAGCGGUGAAAUGCUUAGAUAUCACGAAGAACUCCGAUUGCGAAGGCAGCUCACUGGACUGCAACUGACACUGAGGCUCGAAAGUGUGGGUAUCAAACAGGAUUAGAUACCCUAGUAGUC